GUUCCUGUAGCGCAAUGGAUAGCGCGUUGGACUUCUAAUCUAAAGGUCGUGCGUUCGAUUCCCACCUGGAAUG
Molecule: transfer RNA, 73 nt
Filed under: Trichonephila inaurata madagascariensis
Lineage: Eukaryota; Metazoa; Arthropoda; Arachnida; Araneae; Nephilidae
Rfam family: tRNA
About the family: Transfer RNA (tRNA) molecules are approximately 80 nucleotides in length.
Source: Rfam by way of RNAcentral